This 666-nucleotide ribosomal RNA is filed under the name Hepatozoon canis. RNAcentral's name for it is "SSU rRNA". It matches the Rfam family "Eukaryotic small subunit ribosomal RNA", at positions 167 to 821 of the family's 1831-position model. The record is from RNAcentral. Lineage: Eukaryota; Apicomplexa; Hepatozoidae.
AUACAUGAGCAAAAUCUCAACUUUAUUAGAAGAGACGCAUUUAUUAGAUAAAAAGCCAAUGCAUGCUUUUACAGUAUGGAAAUUGGUGAUUUAUAAUAACUUAGCAAAUCGCAAAGUGAAAACAGGCGAUAAAUCAUUCAAGUUUCUGACCUAUCAGCUUUCGACGGUAUGGUAUUGGCUUACCGUGGCAGUGACGGUUAACGGGGGAUUAGGGUUCGAUUCCGGAGAGGGAGCCUGAGAAACGGCUACCACAUCUAAGGAAGGCAGCAGGCGCGCAAAUUACCCAAUUCUAACAGUUUGAGAGAGGUAGUAACAAGAAAUAACAAUACAAGGCAAUAAAAAUGCUUUGUAAUUGGAAUGAUAGAAAUUUAAACCCUUUUUAAAGUAUCAAUUGGAGGGCAAGUCUGGUGCCAGCAGCCGCGGUAAUUCCAGCUCCAAUAGCGUAUAUUAAAAUUGUUGCAGUUAAAAAGCUCGUAGUUGAAGUUCUGCUAAAAGUAACCGGUCUGCUUUUAAUAAAAGUGGUAUCUUGGUGUGUAUUUAGCAAUGAUGUCCUUUGAAGUGUUUUUUACUUUAUUGUAAUAAAGCAUAUUCAGGACUUUUACUUUGAGAAAAUUAGAGUGUUUCUAGCAGGCUGACGCUUUGAAUACUGCAGCAUGGAAUAAUAAG